UAUAUUUUAGUGUUUAUGCAUAAAAAUUUUUGAAGUUUUUGGGAGUUUAAAAUAAACUAAAUAUAA
Molecule: transfer RNA, 66 nt
Filed under: Allorhynchium sp. GX
Lineage: Eukaryota; Metazoa; Arthropoda; Insecta; Hymenoptera; Vespidae
Also listed under: 1 other name
Description: tRNA-Gln
Source: RNAcentral